RNAcentral lists this unclassified non-coding RNA (315 nucleotides) under fungal sp. RNAcentral describes it as "partial internal transcribed spacer region". The stretch from base 1 to 46 matches the Rfam family "Eukaryotic small subunit ribosomal RNA", at positions 1786 to 1831 of the family's 1831-position model. Lineage: Eukaryota; Fungi. The record is from RNAcentral.
AAGUCGUAACAAGGUUUCCGUAGGUGAACCUGCGGAAGGAUCAUUAACACGUAUCCAACGUUAAACACCCUGUGAACUUUCAACCUCUGUCCAUCAGGCUACAAUCGAGCUAGGAGCAGUGGCAUGGUUUCCCUAAGCAGUGCAGAAGGAUCCACUGAGUAAGGAUAACGCCUCACGGUUGCCAGAGGUCGAUCACCGGCCGGCAGACAUGUCACAGGGCUAUAUGCCCCCUCAUUCACACCUUGCCCUAUCUGGCCCCACGGAAACGUUGGGGCACAAACCGAACAACUGUUAACAAUGGAUAUCUUGGUUCUC